UGCGUAGGCGGGCAGGUAAGUCAGUGGUGAAAUCCUGGAGCUUAACUCCAGAACUGCCAUUGAUACUAUCUGUCUUGAAUAUUGUGGAGGUAAGCGGAAUAUGUCAUGUAGCGGUGAAAUGCGUAGAGAUCUGGAGGAAUACCGAUUGCGAAGGCAGCCCCCUGGACAGUGACUGACGCUCAAAUGCGAAAGCGUGGGGAUCAAACAGGAUUAGAUACCCCAGUA
RNAcentral lists this ribosomal RNA (225 nucleotides) under uncultured Sediminibacterium sp. RNAcentral's name for it is "partial 16S ribosomal RNA". It matches the Rfam family "Bacterial small subunit ribosomal RNA", at positions 568 to 792 of the family's 1533-position model. Lineage: Bacteria; Pseudomonadati; Bacteroidota; Chitinophagia; Chitinophagales; Chitinophagaceae. The record is from RNAcentral.